RNAcentral lists this ribosomal RNA (552 nucleotides) under uncultured bacterium. Its description in RNAcentral is "partial 16S ribosomal RNA". It matches the Rfam family "Bacterial small subunit ribosomal RNA", at positions 355 to 896 of the family's 1533-position model. The record is from RNAcentral.
UGGGGAAUUUUGGACAAUGGGCGCAAGCCUGAUCCAGCCAUGCCGCGUGCGGGAAGAAGGCCUUCGGGUUGUAAACCGCUUUUGUCAGGGAAGAAAUCUUCUGAGUUAAUACCUCGGGAGGAUGACGGUACCUGAAGAGUAAGCACCGGCUAACUACGUGCCAGCAGCCGCGGUAAUACGUAGGGUGCAAGCGUUAAUCGGAAUUACUGGGCGUAAAGCGUGCGCAGGCGGUUUUGUAAGACAGAGGUGAAAUCCCCGGGCUCAACCUGGGAACUGCCUUUGUGACUGCAAGGCUUGAGUGCGGCAGAGGGGGGAUGGAAUUCCGCGUGUAGCAGUGAAAUGCGUAGGUAUGCGGAGGAAACACCGAUGGCGAAGGCAAUCCCCUGGGCCUGCACUGACGCUCAUGCACGAAAGCGUGGGGAGCAAAACAGGAUUAGAUACCCUGGUAGUCCACGCCCUAAAACGAUGUCAACUGGUUGUUGGGAAGGUUCCUUCUCAGUAACGUAGCUAACGCGUGAAGUUGACCGCCUGGGGAGUACGGCCGCAAGGUUG